AGGGCACCACCAGGAGUGGAGCCUGCGGCUUAAUUUGACUCAACACGGGAAAACUCACCCGGCCCGGACACUGGAAGGAUUGACAGAUUGAGAGCUCUUUCUUGAUUCAGUGGGUGGUGGUGCAUGGCCGUUCUUAGUUGGUGGAGUGAUUUGUCUGGUUAAUUCCGAUAACGAACGAGACUCUAGCCUACUAAAUAGAUCGUCGGCUUACAAACGCCGACGAGACUUCUUAGAGGGACAGGCGGUGAUUCAACCGCACGAAACAGAGCAAUAACAGGUCUGUGAUGCCCUUAGAUGUCUGGGGCCGCACGCGCGCUACACUGAAGUGAUCAGCGUGCUUUUGUCAACCUACUCUGUCAAGAGUGGGGAACCCAAUGAACCUUCUUCGUGAUUGGGAUAGGGGAUUGUAAUUAUUCCCCUUGAACGAGGAAUUCCCAGUAAGCGCGAGUCAUAAGCUCGCGCUGAUUACGUCCCUGCCCUUUGUACACACCGCCCGUCGCUACUACCGAUUGAAUGUUU
Molecule: ribosomal RNA, 519 nt
Filed under: uncultured eukaryote
Lineage: Eukaryota
Description: SSU rRNA
Rfam family: Eukaryotic small subunit ribosomal RNA
Source: RNAcentral